Molecule: ribosomal RNA, 1471 nt
Filed under: uncultured Bordetella sp.
Lineage: Bacteria; Pseudomonadati; Pseudomonadota; Betaproteobacteria; Burkholderiales; Alcaligenaceae
Description: partial 16S-23S ribosomal RNA intergenic spacer
Rfam family: Bacterial small subunit ribosomal RNA
Source: RNAcentral
GGUUCGAUCCUGGCUCGAUUGAAUGCCGGCGAUGCUUACACAUGUCGAACGGCAGCACGGACUUCGGUCUGGUGGCGAGUGGCGAACGGUGAGUAAUGUAUCGGAACGUGCCUAGUAGCGGGGGAUAACUACGCGAAAGCGUAGCUAAUACCGCAUACGCCCUUCGGGGAAAGCGGGGACCUUCGGGCCUCGCACUAAUAGGAGCGGCCGAUAUCGGAUUAGCUAGGUUGGUGGGGUAACGGCUCACCAAGGCGACGAUCCGUAGCUGGUUUGAGAGGACGACCAGCCACACUGGGACUGAGACACGGCCCAGACUCCUACGGGAGGCAGCAGUGGGGGCACUUUGGACAAUGGGGGAAACCCUGAUCCAGCCAUCCCGCGUGUGCGAUGAAGCGCCUUCGGGUUGUAAGCACUUUGGCAGGAGGGAAGAAACGCACGGGAUAAUACCCCGUGCAACUGACGGUACCUGCAGAAUAAGCACCACAACUACGUGCCAGCAGCCGCGGCAAUACGAGGGUGCAAGCGUUAAUCGGAAUUACCGGCAAGAAGCGUGCGCAGGCGGUUCGGAAAGAAAGAUGUGAAAUCCCAGAGCUUAACUUUGGAACUGCAUUUUUAACUACCGGGAGCUAGAGUGUGUCAGAGGGAGGUGGAAUUCCGCGUGUAGCAGUGAAAUGCGUAGAUAUGCGGAGGAACACCGAUGGCGAAGGCAGCCUCCUCUGGGAUAACACUGACGCUCAUGUAUCAGCGGAGCAAACAGGAUUAGAUACUCCUGGUAGUCCACGCCCUAAAACGAUGUCAACUAGCCGUUGGGGCCUGGCCCGGUAGCGCAGCUAACGCGUGAAGUUGACCGCCCGGGGAGAGUACGGUCGCAAGAUUAAACCAUAAAGGAAUUGACGGGGACCCGCACAAGCGGUGGAUGAUGUGGAUUAAUCGAUGCAACGCGAAAACCCUUACCUACUCUGAUGUCUGGAAUCCCGAAGAGAUUGGGGAGUGCUCGCAAGAGAACCGGAACACAGGUGCUGCAUGGCUGUCGUCAGCUCGUGUCGUGAGAUGUUGGGUUAAGUCCCGCAACGAGCGCAACCCUUGUCAUUAGUUGCUACGAAAGGGCACUUUAAUGAGACUGCCGGUGACAAACCGAGGAAGGUGGGGAUGACGUCAAGUCCUCAAGGCCCUGGCGGUAGGGCUUCACAUCGUCAUACAAUGGUCGGGACAGAGGGUCGCCAACCCGCGAGGGGGAGCCAAUCCCGUAAAACCCGAUCGUAGUCCGGAUCGCAGUCUGCAACUCGACUGCGUGAAGUCGGAAUCGCUAGUAAUCGCGGAUCAGCAUGUCGCGGUGAAUACGUUCCCGGGUCUUGUACACACCGCCCGUCACACCAUGGAGUGGGUUUUACCAGAAGUAGUUAGCCUAACCGUAAGGAGGAUGACGCACGCCACGGUAGGAUUCAUGACUGGGGUGGUCGUAACAAGGUAG